GGGGGCAACCCUGACCGAGCAACGCCGCGUGAGUGAAGAAGGUUUUCGGAUCGUAAAGCUCUGUUGUAAGUCAAGAACGGGUGUGAGAGUGGAAAGUUCACACUGUGACGGUAGCUUACCAGAAAGGGACGGCUAACUACGUGCCAGCAGCCGCGGUAAUAA
This 162-nucleotide ribosomal RNA is filed under the name uncultured bacterium. Its description in RNAcentral is "partial 16S ribosomal RNA". It matches the Rfam family "Bacterial small subunit ribosomal RNA", at positions 373 to 526 of the family's 1533-position model. The record is from RNAcentral.